UCUCUUUCAUACUAUUUUCAUUGUUACCUCUCUCUCUCUCUCUCCACAGAGUGUCCGUCCUGACUGUAACUGUGACACGUACACAGGUCUGAACAUGAGGACCAUGUCCCCUGACUAUGACACUGUGGCAAGUGUCCAUCCUGACCCUAACAGUGACCCCAGAAAUGACAUGUACUCACCUCUGAACAUGAAGACCAGGUCACCAGAGUAUGACACCCUGGCAAAUGUGAGGGGACCCUCCCACUGAAGAGGACCACCACAGAUCCUGGACUGAAGAGAACCACCACAGAACCUGGACUGAAGAGAAGCACCACAGAACCUGGACUGAAGAGAACCACCACAGAACCUGCACUGAAGAGAACCACCACAGAACCUGGACUGAAGAGAACCACCACAGAACAUGGAUUGAAGAGAACCACCACAGAACAUGGACUGAAGAGAAUCACCACAGAUCCUGGACUGAAGAGCUACAGUUCCAAUCCAAAGCCAGGCCUCACACCUCUAUUCUCUUGCUAUCUUAUAUAGAUGGUUUUCUAGACCAUGAACUUUAACUUUUGAGUAAAUGCUGGAAUAUAUUUUAGAUUUUAUUAUUAUGAUAAUUAUGUAUUUCGAUGAUAAAUGGGAUGGGUUAUGCUUCUGCUUU
This is a long non-coding RNA of Salvelinus fontinalis (brook trout), 643 nucleotides long. RefSeq lists it as uncharacterized. Lineage: Eukaryota; Metazoa; Chordata; Actinopteri; Salmoniformes; Salmonidae. The transcript has 3 exons. The record is from RefSeq and is a predicted model, not a curated record.